UGACACUGGGUGAAGCCAUGCAGUGCC
This 27-nucleotide non-coding RNA is filed under the name Rattus norvegicus (Norway rat). Lineage: Eukaryota; Metazoa; Chordata; Mammalia; Rodentia; Muridae. The record is from RNAcentral.